GAGGAUGUGGCUCAAUGGUAGAGUGUGUGCUUGGGAUGCACGAGGUCCUGGGUUCAAUCCCCAGUACCUUCU
This 72-nucleotide transfer RNA is filed under the name Camelus bactrianus (Bactrian camel). It matches the Rfam family "tRNA". From Rfam's summary of the family: Transfer RNA (tRNA) molecules are approximately 80 nucleotides in length. Their secondary structure includes four short double-helical elements and three loops (D, anti-codon, and T loops). RNAcentral also lists the same sequence under 2 other names. Lineage: Eukaryota; Metazoa; Chordata; Mammalia; Artiodactyla; Camelidae. The record is from Rfam by way of RNAcentral.